ACAUGCAAAAUUGACCCGGGUU
Molecule: microRNA, 22 nt
Filed under: Capitella teleta
Lineage: Eukaryota; Metazoa; Annelida; Polychaeta; Capitellidae
Description: cte-miR-2704
Source: miRBase by way of RNAcentral